RNAcentral lists this ribosomal RNA (734 nucleotides) under uncultured soil bacterium. RNAcentral's name for it is "bacterial SSU rRNA". It matches the Rfam family "Bacterial small subunit ribosomal RNA", at positions 31 to 767 of the family's 1533-position model. The record is from RNAcentral.
GAACGCUGGCGGCGUGCUUAACACAUGCAAGUCGAGUGCGCAUCCGUAGCAAUACGGAUGGCGCACGGCGCACGGGUGAGUAACACGUGGGCAAUCUGCCCUCGGAUGGGGGAUAACUCGCCGAAAGGCGAGCUAAUACCGCAUGACAUUCCGGAGACCACGGUCUCCGGAUUCAAAGGCCGCAAGGCCGUCUGAGGAGGAGCCCGCGCCCGAUUAGCUAGUUGGUGAGGUAACGGCUCACCAAGGCUUUGAUCGGUAGCCGGUCUGAGAGGAUGGCCGGCCACACUGGAACUGAGACACGGUCCAGACUCCUACGGGAGGCAGCAGUGGGGAAUAUUGCGCAAUGGGCGAAAGCCUGACGCAGCGACGCCGCGUGGGGGAUGAAGCUUUUCGGAGUGUAAACCCCUUUCGACCCGGACGAAUGACCCGCAAGGGUUUGACGGUACGGGUAUAAGAAGCCCCGGCUAACUACGUGCCAGCAGCCGCGGUAAUACGUAGGGGGCCAGCGUUGCUCGGAAUUACUGGGCGUAAAGGGUUCGUAGGUGGUGCGGCAAGUUGGGAGUGAAAUCUCUGGGCUUAACCCAGAGGCUGCUUUCAAAACUGCCGUGCUCGAGUGCGAGAGAGGUCAGUGGAAUUGCAGGUGUAGCGGUGAAAUGCGUAGAUAUCUGCAGGAACACCCGUGGCGAAGCGGCUGACUGGAUCGCAACUGACACUGAGGAACGAAAGCUAGGGGA